GUGGAGACUAAGAAAGUAGAGUCCUGGAAGUGGAGCCAACUCAGCUUUCAGCCCCCUCAAUAAAAAGGUAGAUAGGGCAGGUCUUGUUUACAAAAUUCAUUCAAGACCUGCUUACUGCCAACAGCA
This is a non-coding RNA of Phyllostomus discolor (pale spear-nosed bat), 126 nucleotides long. RefSeq annotates it as small Cajal body-specific RNA 15. The transcript has a single exon. The record is from RefSeq and is a predicted model, not a curated record. NCBI's taxonomy places the organism in Eukaryota, Metazoa, Chordata, Mammalia, Chiroptera, Phyllostomidae.